GUGAAGAAGGCCUUCGGGCUGUAAAGCCCUGUCAGGUGGGAAGAAGUGUACCUGGCUAAUAUCCAUGGUAUUUGACGGUACCACCAAAGGAAGCACCGGCUAACUCCGUGCCAGCAGCCGCGGUAAUA
This 128-nucleotide ribosomal RNA is filed under the name uncultured bacterium. Its description in RNAcentral is "partial 16S ribosomal RNA". It matches the Rfam family "Bacterial small subunit ribosomal RNA", at positions 405 to 525 of the family's 1533-position model. The record is from RNAcentral.